GGAAGGGUGGCAGAGUGGUCGAAUGCGGCGGUCUUGAAAACCGCUGGGCCAGUGAUGGUCCCGGGGGUUCGAAUCCCUCCCCUUCCGCCA
Molecule: transfer RNA, 90 nt
Filed under: Opitutia bacterium
Lineage: Bacteria; Pseudomonadati; Verrucomicrobiota; Opitutia
Description: tRNA-Ser
Rfam family: tRNA
About the family: Transfer RNA (tRNA) molecules are approximately 80 nucleotides in length. Their secondary structure includes four short double-helical elements and three loops (D, anti-codon, and T loops). Further hydrogen bonds mediate the characteristic L-shaped molecular structure. tRNAs have two regions of fundamental functional importance: the anti-codon, which is responsible for specific mRNA codon recognition, and the 3' end, to which the tRNAs corresponding amino acid is attached (by aminoacyl-tRNA synthetases). tRNAs cope with the degeneracy of the genetic code in two manners: having more than one tRNA (with a specific anti-codon) for a particular amino acid; and 'wobble' base-pairing, i.e. permitting non-standard base-pairing at the 3rd anti-codon position.
Source: RNAcentral